RNAcentral lists this unclassified non-coding RNA (375 nucleotides) under Homo sapiens (human). Its description in RNAcentral is "solute carrier family 25 member 26 (ENSG00000282739.1)". Lineage: Eukaryota; Metazoa; Chordata; Mammalia; Primates; Hominidae. The record is from RNAcentral.
GUUGGUGAAGGGUGGAAGGCUGGGUACCAGCUGAUGGUCAGCUUGCCUCUACGGAUGUUGCCUGCCUGAUUCGAGUUCCAUCUGAAGUGGUUAAGCAGAGGGCACAGGUAUCUGCUUCUACAAGAACAUUUCAGAUUUUCUCUAACAUCUUAUAUGAAGAGGGUAUCCAAGGGUUGUAUCGAGGCUAUAAAAGCACAGUUUUAAGAGAGAUUCCUUUUUCUUUGGUCCAGUUUCCCUUAUGGGAGUCCUUAAAAGUGGAUUUGCCGCUGCAGUCACCACCCCUCUAGACGUGGCAAAGACAAGAAUUACGCUGGCAAAGGCUGGCUCCAGCACUGCUGAUGGGAAUGUGCUCUCUGUCCUGCAUGGGGUCUGGCG